GGACUACAAGGGUUUCUAAUCCUGUUUGCUCCCCACGCUAUCGCGCCUGAGCGUCGGUAAUGGGCCAGUGAGCCGCCUUCGCCACUGGUGUUCUUCCGAAUAUCUACGAAUUUCACCUCUACACUCGGAAUUCCACUCACCUCUCCCAUACCCAAGUCCCACAGUCUCAAAGGCAAUUCCAGGGUUGAGCCCUGGGCUUUCACCCCUGACUUGAAGGACCGCCUGCGCGCGCUUUACGCCCAGUAAAUCCGAACAACGCUAGCCCCCUUCGUAUUACCGCGGCUGCUGGCCAC
This 293-nucleotide ribosomal RNA is filed under the name uncultured bacterium. RNAcentral describes it as "partial 16S ribosomal RNA". The record is from RNAcentral.